GGGGCCGCCCGCUCCGGCCCCGGGGCUCGCUGCCCGCUCCGUGAGGGGCCGCCCGCUCCGGCCCCGGGGCUCGCCGUGAGGGGCCGCCCGCUUCGGCCCCGGGGCUCGCUGCCCGCGCCGUGAGGGGCCGUCCCCCGCCCCGGCGCUCGCUGGUUCCCCGGAGGGCUCCUCCGCCCCUCGGACACCCCGUCCCGCCGGCGCUUCCCCCGGCACGGGGGCUGAGCCGUGCGGAGAGCUGGGGCUGGGGCUGGGGCUGGGGCUGGGGCUGUGCAGCGCUGCCCGCCGGCACACCGGAGUUCGGUGUGAGCCGCUGGUCUGCCUCGGAGAGACGCGGAAUUGCUCCAGGGCUCGGUGUUUUGGUGCCUCGUGUAAUGCGAAAGGAACCUCGGCUCCAAGUGGUUUUGAAAAGCGAGAGUGCCGUUUCCUGCUAGAACUGGAAUCGCGAAGCUUUGUAGCUGCACAGUUAAUCGUUCUCUUUACGGGAAUCUACGGAGUAGUGAAGCUAUUUUAAUGUCAGAUAUGUACCUGGGAACAGAAGCCAGCCAUCAGACCCUUUAAUUGUCCUUUGAUUCCUGUGAUGUGAAGAUAUUUUGCAUCUGCCAAAAAUUUGGUCUUUGUCUCUAGGGUUCUUGAAUCUUUAAAAAAAAAAAAAAAGAAAAAGUUUAACAUCUAACUGCUGUUCUCAAGCAAGUCCUUUAAUUAGAAAAAGAAUUGAAUAAGCACUGGUUUCAGUGCUUCUUUCUGUCAUCAUUUAUAUUAGAUAAUUAUCUAAAGUAUGGCACAGGCUGCCAGCAAGUAAAGCAAAGAAAGGUGGGACAGUUGAAGCACUGAAAACUUCAGUUAAGCUGUGCUUCAGAAGAGUUAGAAAGAAUGAGCAUUUGUGCUCAGGAGUGUGCGGUUUUCCCUCCAGGCUCCAGCUUGCUAACAUAGACUUCUUGUUUUCCAAACUUCCAUGCAAGAAAAUCUCAUGCUAUUAAAGAACAAAACCCUUAAGAAAAGGAAGAAAAAUGCUUUCUUGUAGCCUUGAGGUCAACAGUUGUCUCUAUUGCAAAACUAUAGUCUCAGCAACCCCUCAGUGUGUUAUUUUAUAACCAUUGUCCUGAAAACCACUAUGAGUCAAAGCCUAUUCAAGCGAGGGAAAGUGACAUAACCACUGGUUACCAGUAGCAAUGCGGUGACAAUCUACCAGAGAUACGCCACCAGUAUUUACAUAGUUACAUAGCAGACACUUAAAGAGAGAACUCGUGGUAUAAAGGGAGGGGUUCUAGCAGAACAUGGAUUCAAGAUAGGGAAGGGGAAUGGAUUUAUCACUGGAAAUGCAAUCAGCAUUUGUGCUCUGCAAGGGACUUGCACAGUUCCUCUUCUCAGUGUAUGAAAGCAUCUGCAGAGCUGGCUGGCAGUCUGGGCACUCUGGACUGAAAGGAGUCUCAAAAAGGCACUGGGAAAUGCACUUGUGGGAAUUCUCUUCUACCAGCAGGACGUAGCUGAAACAUUUCAAGGGAAAAGAGCAGCUGUGCUUAUGAACUACUCCCCGUGGUGGGAGCUGUGUGCUUAGGAGGGUUCAGAACACUGAGCUUUAUCCCAAGCCUGCAAAUAGUUAAGACCUUAUGACAGAUGGCCCAUGGGCAACAGCUCUGUGACCCUCUUUUUCAGGGGAGGAACCAGCUGGCUCUGCCUCCCCUAGUUCCUGGUGUGUGUGGUGUUUGGUAAAUGUUAGUACUUGGUGGGGUGUGACAGGUACAGAGUGAGCCGUACAGUCACUAACAGCAAAAUACUUUGAAGCCAAGAUACUAAUUUACUGUUCACUAGAAGUCAAACAACUACUAAAUAUUUGAUUCUGAUAUCAGGCCUGGCUCUGCAGAGACUCUUUUAGCAAAAACAGCUGUGUGAAUUGAUCAUACAUAAUCUAGAUAUGCUGGGGUGUUUUUAUAUAACACAUCCUGAAAGCAUAGAGUUUUCAUACAUUCAUACAUAUAUUCAUGGACUUGGAGCAGCAGUAGGUCAUGAGGUGUACUUGAUUAGAAGGCAAAAGAAAAAAAGAAAGAGGCAGAAAAGCACCCUCCUGCCUACCUGCAUUGUUCAUGAGCUCAAGAACGGAUUUAUCCUUUACUUAAACAGAAAAAGUUAAAGUGAGGAGGUGACUCACUCUGCAAAAGCACAUCUCCCUUGUAUGAUUUUUCUGCAAAGGGAGGCUUAAUUUCUUCCUUUUAAUGACAAUGAACACAAUACUGAUCUUCUUCCAGCAGUUAAUGGCUGGCAUAACAGGCAGCAUGAGAGCAUGACUACAUUCUUCAGCCUUCUUCUGAAUCAAAAAAGUGCAUCAGGCUUUGAGUCCACAAAAGCCACCAAUAAACCUGCACUGCUCCCCUCUCAAACACAACUAACCCAAGUGUGAAAUUCCAAACCACCUGACAGAGCUCCUUCUCUAGUGGAAGAAGGGAUGUGAAAAGUCACAUCACAAAUACUGCCACAGAUGGCUUUUUAUUUCCACGUGCUCUGCACGUGCUGUAAUAGUCCAUAGCAAGAACAGAUUCUGACUGAUGGCCCAUGCAGUUGAGGCAAUUUUAGAGAAGCACCAAGCAGGAAGCCUGACCAUUAUGUCAGGAAGCUGCACUAACAUGUGCAUAGGGAACAAGAGGAGAAGAUAUGUAUGUUCUUCUGUGUUAUUUUGCCACUGAACCUCUGAAUGACUUUUGGCAACUGUCUUUACCUCUUCAUUCUGCUUAUGGUGACUCCUCCUUCAUGGGCUGAACAUCCUUGCUAUCAUACACACAUGAUUUACACUGAGAAACUAUUAAGCCCAAGUUUUACUUUAAAUCUGUUUAAAAUUAAUUAAUAUUGAAAGAAAAGACAUAAUGUUCUGUCCUCUAUAAAGGAAAUUAAAGUGUAAUAGAGAAGUUUAUGUUCAUAUGCCAUGGUUAGAAAAUCACUACAAUUAAGACACAAAUACAUGAUCCAGUUUAAAUAAAUGCAAGGCACCAAUAGAGAGAGCAAUGCUAUCACAGGGUGCUGCUUCUCAAGGAAAAAUACCAUCAGAGCCUGCAAAAGGUUCUUGUUACCUACUGGUCCAUGAAGUGUGGAAUAAGAAAAAAACCCAGAGCCCUUCCCACACAAACCCCUGCCUGCUUAAUUGAUGACUGACUGGUGAUCAGCUUGACAAGAUCUCAGGCCCGACAAAGCAAGCAUCCCACUGAGGCUGUGUCUCUCACUGUGUGACACUGGAAGGGGGAUUCACAACGUGCCCUUGGAGCGUAACCAAACCUGGAGUGACUGGGAUAAAAUAAUUUCUGUUCAGACAUACCCAGAUUUUCAGAAGGUUACUUUUGUUCUGCAAGGCUACAGCCAGAAAUUCAGUGAAAUUCAAAUUCCAGGGUAUUUUAAUUGUGAAGAAAGAAGAUAUUUCAGCAUUGAACAAAUAUUUAACAAGUAAUCCAUUAUGAAUUCUGAAAACCCCAACAAUAUUUUGAAGACUCUCGUUUUAGCAAAACUGAGGAACUAUCUGCUAUGCACUCCCACUAGCCAUUUUGGUGACAACUUCUUUACUAAUCUCUCAGGAGGAAAGGCCAAAUUAAUUCUUAAAUACAGAGCAGUGAACACCCCAAGUUUUCAAGCACCCAUCAGCAUACAUGGUAACCUCCAAUUACAGUAAACUGCUGCUUAAUGUGUGGCAAGACAAAUUCAAGACUAAGUGGUCCAGAGAACAUGACAAAUGCAGUCAAGAAGCCUUUCCAGUUCUGGAGAACACGAGCAAUUGUUGUUACAGAACCACCAAAUGAAUAUAUUCUGUCUAGAAGGUAUUAAUGGAUUCCUCUGCUCUGACCAGUAAGAAAUGACGUUGCAAUUGCCUUGAGCACCAGGUCAUUUCACCUCCAUGCAGCAAAAUUCCCUUUGUCAGAAACCACUUCACUUAGCUCAGCUGAGAUACAUUUCAGUUUGAAACAAUGUGAGCCUAAACAGCUGGAAGGGAAGUGUUGUAACAAGGAACACAAGGAUGUGUGCUUUGUUUCACAGCCUGUGGUAAGCCAGAAGACCAACCAGCUUCACAGAGGAAUUAAUGCAGUCUACAGUCCACCUGGAAGGUUAAAGACUGAGAUGCAGUAUGGAUCAAAGCUCAAGUUAUUGAUGAGUCCACUACAAAGCAAAUGGAACAGGAAGCUUCUGAACAAUUUGAAAUCCUGCUGAUGGUUUGUUUGAAACUACAGGACACAUUCUUGCCCAGGUUUUAAAAGCUUUCUGGACCACAGCUAUUCAUCUAUCUUUAGAUUGGUAUGGACUGCUGUCAAAGAAGUCUCCUCUUUAGAAGUGUGACAAAUAAGCCUUACUAUGCUUGUUGUGAUUUUUUAAAUCCAAAAGGCAAGUCAUCCUUUCCUACACAAACAUCUGUGGGAGUGUAAAAGGCCUCCUUAACCCACAAUUUAAUUUCAGUAAUUUUCUGCAGGGAGUGAGGAAGAUAAAGGCAAGUUCUACAACCAUAAAACAUGAAAGAGACAAAUAUGGGUGGUAUUACUGUGAUAGAAACCCUGUAAUUAGCUGGAAUAAGCCAAUGCUCAACAGCAGCAGUGGAACUUUCUAAAGUGCAACUGACUUCUGACAAAGUGAGCUCCAGAGCCACAGCCUGCUGUCUUCGGGCAAUUGCUCACAGCCUCCAUGUCUUUGCUGCUGGGGAAAAUUGAUUCAGGCAAGGAGUGAGGAAUUCAUCAGUGUUUUGGCAAAGCUCUUAGGAACAUACAUGUGGUUAAAUGAGACUUGAAACACGUUUCACAUUAAGGGAGCCCUUCCAAGGUAAACUCACAGGCCAAAGGAGUAACUCAGAACAGACUAUUCCAGUACAAAGGGAGGGACCUACGAUGACCAUCCAGGCCAACUGCCUGAGCAGCCCAGGAAACUCCAGCCUGAGCUUAACUGCUUUCUCAGCCUGGGGGCUUGGAAAUCCUCCUGCCUGUGACUUCCAUCCCAGCUGUAGGCAGCCCUUCAUCCUGGGGUCUGGCCUGCAUGACUGAUGAGCUGGAGUGGGCUACAGGAUCUCUGCCUCUUGCUGCUCACCACCACUGCAGGUCAGAGGUUUCUGCCUGAUGUCAGCUGAUUUCAUGGAAUCAAACACACAGGCAACACAGGAAACAAGAGGCAGGCACUUCCAGUUACAAAACUAUGAGAUAACAGCUAUUUAGCCCAUUCUGAUCAACCAGCUAAAGAAACAGAUUUCACCUUUCCACUGCUGUAAUUAUAUGGAAUUAGCCCUGGAAGCCCAGAUGAUACUUCUGUCUUGAUCCACAGUCUUCCAAUUUUCUUCCAAAUUAGCCUUUAACUAUCCAUAGCUAAACCAUAGUCACUUAGUAAGAAAUGAGGCAACAAUUUUAUGCAAAACUCAAGAUCACAUUUGUCAUACUAGAAGGCAGGAGUGGGUUAUUUUAUUUUUAUUUGAAAUAAUGCAGAGCUUUCUUAUGAUACAUACACAUUGAUAGGGCUUCCGGUAGCACACUUUCAAAAAAUUAGUUAUGAAUCAUAAUCAGAAAUAAAUGACUCUUACAUCUAUUAAGACAGUUAUUUAAAAAAAUGUUUUGAUGAAUCAUGCAAAAAUGUUCACAAAGAGCAUUAUAUUUUUUCUUAGAUAAAUGUUUUGUUCUUUCUAAGUCUUACAAAAAGAGCCUGUGCUUUUAAACACUUGAAUUGAGAAAAAAUAUUUACAGCAGACAUCAUAAAUACCACAUUGAAGUUCAUAGAGGCAAAGUGGUGAUGGUCCCCUGUUUUGCAUUCACAAAACAUGCUGAGGGUUUCAGAUCUCUUCCAUAAACUCCCAAUUUAAAAGUGUUCAGUCUUGGAUCUUCAGUAUACUCCUCUUCUCCAAAUCAUUCAUUUCCUUCAGUAUAAGGGCAACAUUGUAUCUCAGUUCUUGAAACUUUGCAACUGGCACCUGAAACAGAAUGCUCAGGUUAGGAAACACAAGACAUCUCAGGAACUUGACUAGGGCAUGCCUUGGACAUGGAACAUUCUGCAGUAUAAGGCCAAUCUCUUUCAAAAGACUUAAUUUUUGCAGACUUAAGACAAAGGAUUUAAGGUUAAUAAAAUUCAGGUAAUUCAACUAAAUCCACAUGGAAAAGGAGAGAGGGAAAAAAACAGAAAUGACACCUAGAUUGUACAUUUUCUGUACUGCAUCAUGAGAGAAAGGAAAUACUCAAGGAUGUAAACUGAGAGCUGCUUGGGUGAGAUGAAAGUCAUGAACUGGAAGGAAAGACAUCUAGAAGGUCAUGAAGACUACAGAAUUCUCAAGCAACAAAUUCAAGAUAUUCUGCUCAUCCAAACUUGCAAGAGAAAGGAAUUGAGACUUGAGGGAAGACACUUGGCAGCAACCUCAAGAGCAAAUUCCACUAUGCAUGGAAGGCAAAAGAUUUAGGGUUAAACACACAAAGCAUUUUCAACAGUGUAGGAGACUCACGGGCUCUCCUCUACCAUUUCAAGCCCGAGAAGCCCAGUGGAUGGAAAUCUUACCUGUGAAGACAGAGACCCCCAGCUGAGUGCAGGCACAGACUGGUGACACAGACUGGUGACACAGACUGGUGACACAGGUGCAGUGCACAAACACAUGCUCACACGAGUGCCCAGUGCAGUCUGGCUGGUCCCACACAGUCUGCACAGCACUGCCUAAUUUACUCUGACUGCACUGAAGACAGCAGUUCUUUUGGCAGAGACCCUUGUCAUCCUUCUGCCCACUCCAGCACAGAUACCAAUUAUAUGAGAGGAAUCCAACACCUGAUUUGCAUUUUCCACAUACAUCAGAAAUGCAUAAAAAGGCACCACGUCCUUUUCACUUUUGACAUAUAUACAACAAGACUCAAAAUGCUGCAAUUCCCACUGCUUUAAAAAAACAACUUCAGUCAGAAGCCACACUGUGAUUAAAAUACCAAAUGGAGACCAAAGAGUGUAACUUCUCCAUGUGCUAUACACAUUUUAAAACUGUUCACAACAGAAUUAUUUUCUGGACUUACCAUCUUACAUAAGCCCUGCUAGUGAGCAGGACAUUCUGAAUGUGUUCAAAUAAAGGAAAACUGAACAUCUGAGGACUAUGUUUACUUGCAUAUGGUACCUUGAACCAACACACAAGUUUAUCCCAAAGAGCUGCUAACUGUGGGAAGACCACUCAUCAGAUCUAGAAAUCCUGCCUGAAGUCACACCCUUGGCAUUCAGAUCCAAGCAGCAACAGCAAAGAGCUGAUUCUAAGAGAAGCACAGUUUGUUAUCAGAUAUCUGCACUCCUGCAUGUGCUGGACAAACACAUGUCCCCUGCAGAAUAACAAAGGGUCUUCACAGACUCACAAUGAUAAAAAGAUCCACAAAAAGCCAAAACACAAGCCCUAAAAUCAAACCAAAACAGUCAGAAACAAUGGCACUAAGACCAACACUGGACAUGAUAUACCAGGAAAUAAAGUGGGAAUAGAGUAUAAACUAGAUUUUAUUCUCACAAGUGAAACUUACCCUUUUGUAAAGGGUUAACCUGAAGUCCAUGGCAUCAUUUAAGUUCCAUGGAAGUCCUCAAAUACAGUGUAUGGGAUGCUCUGGGCUGGACUGUCCAGAGGGGUAAAUUUGAUCUCCUGUGAAGUGACACCCUCAACAAUUUGCAAUGCAGCAAAUUUAUGCCCUUAGAAUUUAUGCCCUUCUCAACAGAUGCUUUCUUGCAAAACAAUUUAAUAGUAAAAUCAGUCCACCUCUUUCAACCCACAGGGCUUUGGUGUUUCUUCCAGACUACUACUAAUGAGAGAACUGAAGCCAAAAUCUGUACAGAGUUCAAAAGUAACAAUGCCUGCUGUGCACUGAAUUCCUGUAUGCACCACCAGGCUAUUUAUAGAACAAAUAGCAUUCCUUUCCAAAGGUUAAAAUUAUGGAAGAGUUUAUGCCAUCUUCUGGCAAGCCUUUAGGUACAGUGUCAGAAAUACUGCCACUGACUAAUCCUGUAAUAAGCAAAGAGUUUUUUUUUUUUUUUUUACUUUCUAGCAGCCAGAACAGUUCUGAAGAAAAAGAAUAAAACUACCUCUGCCAUAGAAAAGAAUGUUACCAUUCUCUGCCAAAUGCAGAAGGUUUAGAAGUGUAUCAUACAUUAUAUAAACUACCCCAGUAAUUUUCCUGCCCUCAAGAGCCACCAUCGGGUCUGAAGGUUACAGUUCAUAACAACCCCAUAACUUUUAAUCAAACCAGAUAUUAUGUAACAGUGCUUUCCAGCAAUUAAUAUUCUUCUAGUAAAUUGCAGUUCAGAAGAACAUGUGGAGGAACAAGGUAGGAAAUUAUUUUGAUUGGUAUUUCAUUCAAUAUUUUUUGUGGCUACACUGAACAUGAAGGAUUCCAAAGCAAACCAACCAAUGGUAACACACCAUUUACAAAAGCUUUAGUAUUUUAAGUAAUAAUUCAACUUUCUAAAUAAAACUAGAAAUGGUUUCCUUAUUUAUUAUGGCAAUCAGACUUACUUCAAAGCGAUGAGCUGUCCCAUCUGAAAGCUUCAUCAUCAUCAGAAUGGAUGGCUGGAGUGCACGGGCCAGUGAACUGAAAUUAUUUACAUCAUUAGGAUUACAGCAGUACAGAUCAGCAGCGUGAUGAGUACAGCAUUGCACAUUAACAAUUUUAGAUGUUCAUGUAGGCUUUACACAGAACAUGAGUAAUUUCAGUCAGAGUCUGGCUGGAAACUCAUGAACACAACAGUUCUGUCCAAUUUACCUCAGUAUUGAGACUUAACAUUUUGCUAAUAGUUUAGUAACAGCAAGUUUAGGAGCAUUUUCAUUUUUACAUAACUGGUUUAGUGGAACCGUGACAGGGAUAAGAGCUGACCAAGUACUGCUAACAAUAAUGCACAGUUUUCUUAUGCAGUUCACCAUGCUGCAUUAAUCAUUUCCAUUCCCUCAUACGUUCAGCUGCCACCUCAUUUAGGGAAUCAACCUCUUCCAGGCUUCAUCCUAAAUUUGUGUGGUAUUUUAUUUGAUGACCCAAAGAAGGGAAAUGAGUCAUUCUUGUGCAGCUUCCAUCAAAUGACAUUGCCAAAGCCUGCUCAGGUACAGACAGGCACUACAGCCCAAAGCUGCCAUACCUCCCUGCAGAGGCUGUUGCUGGAUAAUAAACAAAAAAUCCCAGGGGGAAGAUUAACUGAAAACAAAAUUAAAAGGAAGGAAAACAAAAACCGGUAACGUAUUGCUCCUGUGUUGUUUGGAAAACAAAUCAUAGGAUUUGCUUUCAGCUUGCACCACUGUGCCUGAGGAUGUUUACCUGGACAUUUUGCUCUCUUAUCAGUAUAGAUUCUUCCUACAGAGUGAUACCUGUGUGGUGCUUACAGCACUGCUCAUCAGAAAGUCACCUGAACCAGCAACUUGUGGCCAAUUUUCUCUUGGGAGCCUUUUUUCCUGAUUUCAGGAAGACAAUCCCUGAUCAGCCAUGGGCCUCCCUGGCAGCAAAGAGACAGCACUCCCUCCCAGAUGCAGGCAUUCAGACAUGCAACAUGAAGUUACUCAUGCUAACAAAUUACACUGCUAACAAAGACUGGAUCAUCUAAUUUCUUUCAGCUUGGUCUGUCCUGGUUAGGACUAGACAGAGACCAAACAGCACAGACAAAAGGUUUCUGUUUCCUUCUGGAUUCUAGCUAAAGAUUCAUUCCCCACAUGCCCCUGUUAUGGCAGAUGGUAAGAAGCUGUUCACUGCAGGCACAGGCAGGAUGAUCUCAAAGGCUUUUACUCCUGCUGUGAAAGAAACUAGGAGGUAGUUCAAUGACCAGUUACAUAACCAUGGCAGUGUAAAGGUGCUGUCCUGAAACUUUUCUUUGUAGAAGCAGAGUACAAGAGAUGGAAAUUCAUUCAACAUGUGCAAAAACUGAUGCAAAAAAUGAUGAUCUACUUGAGAAGUUGAAUAGAUGAAUACCCUCCUCUGUUUCAGUAGAACUAAGAGCUUGCCCAGCUGCUUGAGGCUACAUCUGACUAAUUUAUGCCAUCAUCACCAGGACGUGUGGGUUUGUAUCAGCUCUGUUAAGUUUUAAAAUAAGAGACUCAAACUUUGAGUGAAAUGUUACCAGCAGUAAAGUCUGUAUACACUGACUUCUACACUCUUCAGAAAAUUCCACCUGUAUCUUACUGUUUAAGGCUACCUGCCAAUCCCUAAUAGCAAGGCACAUUUUGACCCCAUUAAAAUGUUUAAGCAGCACAAGAAAUCAGUUUAAUCUUAGGAAAUUCCAAGGAUGUGCAUGAUUCUCUUUCAUACCUUGUGGAUAUAGCUACAUCCACUCUCCACUUGAAGUCCUGGAUGCUUGGCAGCCGACUUCUUUGUAUCAGAGCUGUGCCUUCCGAAGUGGGACGCCUGAAGAGAGAAUCAGAAACAAGAGACUGCAAGGGAAAUUCAUAAAAGAAGAAACAAUUUAAAGAGAAAAUAGGAUUCCUCGGUACAAACCUGUCUGGAAUUUGUUUCUCUCCUACAUCUGCCCUCACUUAAAAAGGUCUGAAUAAGGAGAGUUUUGUGGAUUUAAGACAGUUGUGCUCAGAUUAUCUCCUUUUUCUAUGCUUAACUAUGGUCCAUGUUGAAAAAAGAGACCAAGUGACUGUAUAAUUCUAGUAAACUGAUGUCACUAUGAAGUUUAGUAAGUCAUUGUGGUGACUGGCAUAGCUAUUAUUUCAAUGAUAUGCAACUGUGAGGCAUAGAAAGGGACCUGCAAACAUGUCCUUAUCUUCAUGCAAAUCCAACAGGAACAAGCAAGCAGAGACAAGACAGAUGACUUAGGCAAAACAGUUGCAUAAGGUCACUGCUCUUCUUCAGCAAAAGCCAUCCACUAUUGACUAGCAGCAAUGUUUUAAAAUGUAAUGUCAGUGUAUUGAGUGUAUUUUGAAGCAUACUUAAAAAACCCCACAGUGGUUCUUGUUGGUGCAAUGAAACUUACAAACUUUAAGUUCCUUAUAUAAUGUUUACUGCCAACCCCAGCUCAGCCUUCAAUAUUUUUGCCUAGUCUAAUGUGUAAGAAGCCAAGCAUUUCAUUUGUUCCUCAUACUGCAGGAAGAAUCAGGCUGAUCAAGUCCUAGUUUAUUUCUGUGUGGAAACACAGUUAACAGCAAUUAAACUUCAGGUGGUUGACAAUUUUCAAAAUUUUAACAACAUGCUAAGUUCUGGAUAACUAAAUGGCAAAUCUGAUACCAAUACAUAAUAACCAUUCACUCUUAGAUAUACAUGCAGAAAUAAUUUCAGAAUGAGGUCACUGUGCUGAGGUCUAUUCAGCAGGUGGACUUCUGGACUUUGUGUUACUCUUUUUUUUUUUUUCUCUAAGCAUCCUGUGUCCCUGGAAUUUAUUUAUGGUACAUUUCAAGGCUACUUCCACUAAGGGCAGGAUAAGAAACAUUACUUCCUUUAUCCAUGGUGCUAGACAUAAUCUAAUUACAGACUUUGCAGCAGAAGGGAAUCCUCUCUGAACAAAUCAAGCACUGUAGGAAUGGCAGGCUCACAUCACUACUGAGACUCUUGUGUGCAAGUUAGCUGGGCCUUUAGAAACUGCCCAGAAAGAUUAAUGAUCUGAUAAGGUACACAGGACUCACAGGCUGAGAUCCUCCAAGUGUCCUGCAUUUUGCAAAGGUGAUAUAAGAAAGAAUUUAUCUCUUUGGUGAGGGGAGGUUGGGUGGUGUCAGAAGUGAGAGACAUUCCUAAUAGCACAGUAAAGAAAUGAGCAAAAAAAGUAGAUCAGCUGGUUGUUACUCAUUGUCAGCUCCUGGAUAGGAAGUAGGUCACCACAGCUGGGUGCAGCCAUGAGGAGCUGGAGUCUAGAACAGUCAUUAGCAGGAUUAAACAGUAAGAACAGGCCUUUCCCUCAGUGGAGAGCUGCUGCCAGAGUAUUGCUUAAGUUGGAGACUCCCUAAAAAUAGCCACAGUGCUACAGUUUCCUUAAGACAUGCUAACUCCCAUUGAUGGAAGUCAGUCCAUUCGUGCAGCACCAGCACCCUGGGGGAAGAAAGGAGUUUUAAAAACAGAAAGAUAUUCUACUUAGCUGUGGUGGGAAAGAUCAGAAAUGGUGACCUCCCAAAGAGAGGGGAAGCUUCUGAAUACUGUUGAGAGAUGGCAUUUCUGUGGUCAAACACAAAGCUUUAUUUCUGGUCAGGACUGCGCUUCUGUACCAUUCUCCUAGGAAGAGUUACAGCUUCUAUAACUCAGUUUAAGCUUCUGUCAGGACCAUCCCAGCUUGGACAAGACCACAAUGGGAACUGCAAGAAUCCUGCAAAGAUGACAGAAUGUGCAUAGUGGCCAACAUGCAUACAGAAAUUACACAGGCUGCUAAUCAAGCCAUUAAAUUCUGAGAGGAAUAGCAAAAUGGAGCAGCAACGACUCAAUGAAUCUUACAUCCAAAACCUAUAGCCUAUAAUUACAUUUUGUAAACACUCUGUGCCAGCAGCUGCAAUACACUGUCAGCACAUUGUGCAGAAGGCAGAAGUCAGAGCAAGUAGAAGACCUGGAUCAGGUAGAGACCAUUUUAUAGUCCACACAAGUUAUGGUGGAAAGGAUGACACACCUGGUGACAAGAACACCACCUGCUAAACAAUGCAACUCGAAAAUGAAAGAUUAAGAGAAUUUGGAGCAGCAACUGAUCUGCCAGUAUCAAAACUAAAGACAAGUUCUGGAUGGGUCCCUGUGCACAUAACAAGAUAUGCCCAGCAGGCCACUGAGUUGGAAGGCUGAACAAGCUUGCACGUGUGAAAUGCUGACAAACAGCACACAGAAUGCACCCUCCUGGUAGAAACUAAAGCUACACCAUUAGGAACAAAACCCAGUGCAUUUAUUAUAAACAUUCAGAGAGGGUGAAGUUAGUGUUAUCCCUUCCUUUAAAAGACAGUUUUAAUUUAAUGUAGUUAUUUGAUGUGGCAAGUUUUUCUUUCAGUCUACACAGCUUGAUGGAACUGUAGGGACACAAAUACAAAUACCAAAUACUUCAGAGCUGUUGUUUAAUGAAAAGAUCUCCAAAAAUAAGAUAAGAUGCCAGGAAAAGUAUUAAAAAUGGAUUUUUCUGGGUUAUCUACCUCAUACUGAAUUACUGAAUUUUUGAUCACAUGCUAAUGCAUCUCUUACCAUCACAAACAUAUAUAUUUACAACUCAAUAAGCAUAUGUAUGAUUCAGUGUUACAUUUAAGACUGUAGAAGUAGAUCUGUCUAGAAAUCAAACCUGAGGUAUUUUUCUCUGGUCUCAAAACACAGAGCAAGAUUACACUGGAUAAUCACAGCUUUCAAAAUGAGAAAAAGCUAAAUUUUCCAGCAUCGUGAUUUCACAGUAGAAAACAGACAAUCAUGCAUGCUUCAAAUUAUAUCUAAAUUUAUCUUCCUUUCCUACUGCAAGCAGUAUUUCCACUUUGCAACCAUGAAUUUUGCAUUCUUAACACCUAUAAUUCAAACAGAGGAGCAAAGAAAAGAUGAGAUGACUGAAUUUAUUUUUACUCCAGGAACCUUUAUCUGUAAGCCAAGAUCUUAAUCAAAGAAAUGAAAAAUAUUUUUAGCUUUGGUAGCAGCACACAGACCCUUGAGGGUAACUGAAAAACCACAACUAUGAUUAUUUGGAUUCCAUGCAGAGAAUCUGGAGCAGCACUGGGUUAGUGAUGUCAAGUGCUGAGUGACCUCAAGUUUCAAGAAGGAAAGUUGGCCCACAAUGAUCAUCAGAGUCCAAUUCUUCACCCUGCACAAGUUUGCAUAUUCAAAACAGUCAAGAUUUUGAAUUUCUAGAUGUAGAAUAGGCUAAAUAUGGUCAAGCAGAGAAACUUCUAGAAAAAGGGAAUCCCAAGAAUGGACAAAAGAGACAGGCUGUUCAAAAAGCUCUCAAUUUAGAACUUACUCUAGAGUGACUGAGGAAUGUUGCUUAAAAAGCAAAUUACAGCAGGCAGAGCACUUGAUAUCUCAUAUAUGCUGUCAUCAAGUCACUCAGUGUGAAUUCCCAACUGAACUGUACAUUAAGACUUGAGAAAUGCUAUCUGAGAAAGCUGCCAUAAACCAGAGCCUGCCUCUUUUGCUAUAACUUGCAAUGAUAAUGAUGGCAAAAAUGAAUAAUUCUGCACUGCAUUUUUCAUCUGUAGGUAUUGAUUGACCUCACAGUCUAUAGAAUAUUAUAAAAACUGAUGAACACAAAAAACCUGAAAAUUGGCAAGAAAGCUACUUAAUGCAUGUAUUGCCAUGCAUGAUGGACAUCAUACUGUGCUGAAUCAAACUAAUGGGACAAGUCUUGUUCUCAUUAAUUUGGAAAAUAUUGCUGUUCCUUCAAUACACCAAGGAUUUGUGUCAGCAGAACUCUGUGCAGCCCUGCUGUCUGCACAAUGAAGACACUAACCUGUUACCAAAGACUACACUGGAAAAGUCCACAAUGAAAUCUUCUGGUAUUCUGAAAGAGAAGAGCAAGACAAAACAGUCAGGGAUUUUUUGUAACCACAGUUAUACAGCUUUACCUGAAAAAAACCCCUAAAUCAAUUACAGAACACAACAGAUGUGUCAACAUUUUCCAUCUUCCACUGCUUAAAAUUGCCAGCUCUUAUGUAAGCACUUCAGUAUUGAUUCAGUCAGGGCUCUCAAAAGGACAACCUGUGUUUAUACAUCAAGAACCCUAAAAACUGUGCUACAUCUUCCCAUCCUACCUUGUAUGGAAAUGCUGCAUUUCAAAAGAAUCCAGUAUUGGCUUAACUUUUCUCAGUAAAGUCAAGAAAAAUUUCACUGAUGGCUCUGACAAGUGCAGAAGGCAUGCCAGCAAUGCAUGCUUUCAAAAAUCCCAAACUUACAUGUUUCAUUUCACUUUCCCCUCAAGGAAUUGCCCCUCAAAAUUCAGAGGCCCUUGUAGCCAGGGCUACUUACAAAAGGAGCACACGUGGGGACUGGUUGAAGAGACCAACACACUCCACCUACCCUACACCUCUCCACUCCUUCACCAUUUCUCUGACACUGCUGUUUCCUUACAAACAAGCUUCUGCUGAUUUUCAGUUCAAUAGAUCAGGCUGUGAAUUGCAAAGACCACAGAGCAAACACUAUCCACUAGCUGCCUUUGCCACAGGGACAGUAACCUCCUACAGAGAGGCAGGCUGGACAAGUGGGAGAAGUCACUACUGCUGCUGCCACAGUUAAAUCCAGCACUCACCAUGAAUCAGUGCCCAGAGACAUUACUCACCAGUGGCCUGAGACACACAGCAGUGUAUCAAAGAAAAAUCAAAGCAGACAAGGAAGUUAUAUGUCCUAAGGAGCUUACAGUGUCUAAUGACCAGAGAAAAAACAACUCAUCAACUCACACAGCAGGAUGAUGAAACAGCAGCUACUACAGCUCAAAUUCAGAAAGGGAGAAAUGGGGUUAAACCACAUUUUUAAAUAGGGCUUAGAUAAAAAGAAAUUCAUUUCAGCAAGCACUAGAACAGCGUUUUUUGGCUGCAAGAGUCUGACUUUCGGAAGAGACAAGACUAUUUCUGCAAACAUUACUUAUACUUUCAUGCAAGUGUAUCAUUUAGCCCAUCCUGACACUGACUGGAUAUCCUGACUGUGUGGUGGAAUAGCUGGAGACAGGGGGCUGUGAUAUGAUUAUGAUGAUACCUACCACAACACUUGCUUGACUCAAGAGCAUUACUAAAACAGAAGCAUUAACACUAUCUUUGAGUUUGCAUUAUUUUUGCUGUGCAGUCCAUACUCUUGUUGAAAAUUCUGUUCCUGGCUCAAGCAGCACACAUGAGGCCAGUCACACACAACACAGAUAAGAUAGAACAUGGCACAGCUCAGCCUGAACUACAGAUAGCAAUCACUUGUCACUGGAACAUUCUGAGGAAGGGACUCAAAGGGCAAGAAAUGUGUGAAGAUGUCUCAAUCCCAUGCUCUUUGCCUGAGUCAUAAAGUUAUUAACUACUCUGUGAGGAGAAGGGAAAAAAAGCAACCACAGUUUAGUGUGAAUUUAUUCCCACUGGCUCAGCCACUCAGGCUAAGAAGUAGGGAAAUGCAACUCUUUUAAACUAGAAAUAUUGAUACAGUUAAUCAGAAUUGGGCAUGUAUUCCAGCCUCUCUCUUCAUCAAACUAGAAGCCAAGAUCAGACCAGAAAAUUGAGAAUUACAGGAUAUAUAUGGGCAGAAUUAGCUCAAGCUUCAGAUUCACUGAAAAAACCCAAAACAGAAUGCAAAAAGUAAAAAAAAAAAAAAAAAAAAA
Long non-coding RNA from Passer domesticus (house sparrow), 16140 nucleotides. RefSeq lists it as uncharacterized. NCBI's taxonomy places the organism in Eukaryota, Metazoa, Chordata, Aves, Passeriformes, Passeridae. The record is from RefSeq and is a predicted model, not a curated record. The transcript is spliced from 2 exons.